RNAcentral lists this ribosomal RNA (382 nucleotides) under uncultured bacterium. RNAcentral's name for it is "bacterial SSU rRNA". It matches the Rfam family "Bacterial small subunit ribosomal RNA", at positions 29 to 436 of the family's 1533-position model. The record is from RNAcentral.
AGCGAACGCUGGCGGCAGGCUUAAUACAUGCAAGUCGAGCGCCUGUAGCAAUACAGGAGCGGCAGACGGGAGAGUAACACGUGGGAACGUGCCCUUUGGUUCGGAACAACACAGGGAAACUUGUGCUAAUACCGGAUAAGCCCUUACGGGGAAAGAUUUAUCGCCAAAGGAUCGGCCCGCGUCUGAUUAGCUUGUUGGUGAGGUAAUGGCUCACCAAGGCGACGAUCAGUAGCUGGUCUGAGAGGAUGAUCAGCCUCAUUGGGACUGAGACACGGCCCAAACUCCUACGGGAGGCAGCAGUAGGGAAUAUUGGACAAUGGGCGCAAGCCUGAUCCAGCCAUGCCGCGUGAGUGAUGAAGGCCUUAGGGUUGUAAAGCUCUUU